GGUGAUGGGUAACAGGAAGUAGAGGUGGAUGAAAUGCAAUGAUAUACCGACCGUCAUCAACACAAUCAUCAGUCACAUACCAAUUCAAUAGAAGUAUCCCACAUACUAAAACUUUAACCCACCCACCAGUAGAAUAGAAGUAUCCCACAUACUAAAACAUUAACCCACCCACCAGUAGAAUAGAAGUAUCCCACAUACUAAAACAGUAUGUCACACACCAAGAGACACACGACCCACAUGUCCACAUGAAAUGGUCAUUGCUAACCAUUAAUGUGUACAUUCUAAACAGAAGGACAAGGCCAGGCACAGCUGAAUCAAGAAUCACCCAAAUCAUCUCACCCUCCAGGAGAAAUCAGUGACACCAGUUGAUUGUAAACGUGUUAGUCCGAGACUCAAAUCAUGCAUGCAUCCAUUUGGGGUUAUAGGGUGGUACAUGCACACUCUCUCAUCCUGCCAAGUGUGUAAGAGUUAGUGGGAUGCAUGCACACUCUCUCAUCCUGCCAAGUGUGUAAGAAUUAGUGGGAUGCAUGCACACUCCCAUCCCCCUUAACCAGUCAGUAAGGUUGUACACAGUAUGGUGCAUGCACACUCCCUUUUAUCCCUUAACCAGUCAGUAAGGUUGUAUACAGUAGGGUGCAUGCACACUCCCUUUUAUCCCUUAACCAGUCAGUAAGGUUGUAUACAGUAGGGUGCAUGCACACUCCCUUUUAUCCCUUAACCAGUCAAUAAGGUUGUAUACAGUAGGGUGCAUGCACACUCCCUUUUAUCCCUUAACCAGUCAAUAAGGUUGUAUACAGUAGGGUGCAUGCACACUCCCUUUUAUCCCUUAACCAGUCAAUAAGGUUGUAUACAGUAGGGUGCAUGCACACUCCCUUUUAUCCCUUAACCAGUCAAUAAGGUUGUAUACAGUAGGGUGCAUGCACACUCCCUUUCCCCCUUAACCAGUCAAUAAGGUUGUAUACAGUAGGGUGCAUGCACACUCCCUUUCCCCCUUAACCAGUCAAUAAGGUUGUAUACAGUAGGGUGCAUGCACACUCCCUUUUAUCCCUUAACCAGUCAAUAAGGUUGUAUACAGUAGGGUGCAUGCACACUCCCUUUCCCCCUUAACCAGUCAAUAAGGUUGUAUACAGUAGGGUGCAUGCACACUCCCUUUCCCCCUUAACCAGUCAAUAAGGUUGUAUACAGUAGGGUGCAUGCACACUCCCUUUCCCCCUUAACCAGUCAAUAAGGUUGUAUACAGUAGGGUGCAUGCACACUCCCUUUUAUCCCUUAACCAGUCAAUAAGGUUGUAAACUGUAGGGUGCAUGCACACUCCCUUUUAUCCCUUAACCAGUCAAUAAGGUUGUAUACAGUAGGGUGCAUGCACACUCCCUUUUAUCCCUUAACCAGUCAAUAAGGUUGUAUACUGUAGGGUGCAUGCACACUCCCUUUCCCCCUUAACCAGUCAAUAAGGUUGUAUACAGUAGGGUGCAUGCACACUCCCUUUUAUCCCUUAACCAGUCAAUAAGGUUGUAUACAGUAGGGUGCAUGCACACUCCCUUUCCCCCUUAACCAGUCAAUAAGGUUGUAUACAGUAGGGUGCAUGCACACUCCCUUUUAUCCCUUAACCAGUCAAUAAGGUUGUAUACAGUAGGGUGCAUGCACACUCCCUUUCCCCCUUAACCAGUCAAUAAGGUUGUAUACAGUAGGGUGCAUGCACACUCCCUUUCCCCCUUAACCAGUCAAUAAGGUUGUAUACAGUAGGGUGCAUGCACACUCCCUUUUAUCCCUUAACCAGUCAAUAAGGUUGUAUACAGUAGGGUGCAUGCACACUCCCUUUCCCCCUUAACCAGUCAAUAAGGUUGUAUACAGUAGGGUGCAUGCACACUCCCUUUUAUCCCUUAACCAGUCAAUAAGGUUGUAUACAGUAGGGUGCAUGCACACUCCCUUUCCCCCUUAACCAGUCAAUAAGGUUGUAUACAGUAGGGUGCAUGCACACUCCCUUUCCCCCUUAACCAGUCAAUAAGGUUGUAUACAGUAGGGUGCAUGCACACUCCCUUUCCCCCUUAACCAGUCAAUAAGGUUGUAUACAGUAGGGUGCAUGCACACUCCCUUUUAUCCCUUAACCAGUCAAUAAGGUUGUAAACUGUAGGGUGCAUGCACACUCCCUUUUAUCCCUUAACCAGUCAAUAAGGUUGUAUACAGUAGGGUGCAUGCACACUCCCUUUUAUCCCUUAACCAGUCAAUAAGGUUGUAUACAGUAGGGUGCAUGCACACUCCCUUUCCCCCUUAACCAGUCAAUAAGGUUGUAUACAGUAGGGUGCAUGCACACUCCCUUUCCCCCUUAACCAGUCAAUAAGGUUGUAUACAGUAGGGUGCAUGCACACACUCUCU
Molecule: long non-coding RNA, 2373 nt
Organism: Oncorhynchus keta (chum salmon)
Lineage: Eukaryota; Metazoa; Chordata; Actinopteri; Salmoniformes; Salmonidae
Exons: 3
Source: RefSeq, a predicted model, not a curated record